UCUUUAAGAAAAAAGUUAAAAACAUAAAUUUUAUAACUAAAUACUAAUUAAAUAAAAUUAUUAACUAUAUAAUUAAAAACCGCGUUAAAAAGUUUAACAUUUUCAAAAAAACACAUAUUGUUUUAAGAACAUUGAAAACCGUGUUAAAAAGUUUAACAUUUUCAAAAAAACACAUAUUGUUUUAAGAACAUUGAAAACCGUGUUAAAAAGUUUAAUAUUUAAAAAAAAAUUAUGAAUCAAUAAUAUUAAUAUAAAAUUUUAUCCAAAAAAUUUAACAAUAAAUGUAUAAACAAAAAGACAAACAAACCCUAAACCAAAUAAUCCUAAGCAUUAUUUUAAACCAAACCUAAAUCCAACCUAAACCAAACGCUAAACCUUUCCUACUAUCUAAACCCAAAAUCCUACCUAACCCUAAACCCUACCUAAACCUAGAACUUAACCCUAUCUAACCCUAAACCCUACAUAAACCUAACCCUAAUCCCUAAACCCUUCCUACUACCUAAACACUAAACCUAUCUAACCAUAAACCUACCUAACCCUAAACGUAAACCCUACCUAACCCUAAACCCUAUUUAACCUUAAACCCUAUCUAACCCUAAACCCUAUCUAACCCUAAAACCCUACCUAAAACCUAGGGUUUAGGGCUAGAAAGGGUUUAGUGUUAGAAAGGUUUUUGGUUAGGUAGGGUUUAGGUUAGGAAAGGUUAGUAGGGUUUGGUUAGGUAGGGUUUAGGGUUAGUAGGGUUUAGGGUUAAGUAGGGCUAAGGGUUAGGUAGGGUUUAGGAUUAGGGUUAGGUAGGGUUAAGGGUUACACUAAACCCUACUAACCUUAAACCCUAUUAACUCUAAACCCUUUCUAAUCCUAAACCCAACCUAACCCUAAACCCUACCUUACCCUAAACCCUACCUACCCUAAACCCUUUCUAACCCUAAACCCUACCUAACCCUAAACCCUGACGAACCCUAAACUCUACCUAACCCUAAACAUUUUCUAACCCUAAACCCUGCCUAACCCUAAACCCUACCUAACCCUAAACCCUUUCUAAUCCUAAACCCUUUCUAUCCCUAAAUCCUACUAACCUUAAACCCUGCUAAACCUAAACCCUGUCUAAUUCAAAACCCUACCUAACCCUAACCCUACAUAACCUUAAACCCUACUAACCUGCUAACCCUAAACCAUACCUAAUUCUAAACCCUACAUAACCCUAAACCCUACCUAACUCUAAAACCUUUCUAACCCUAAACCCUAACUAACCCUAAGCCUAAACCCUACUAACCCUAAACCCGACCUAACCCUACAUAACCCUAAACCCUACUAACCCUUCUUAACCUAAACCCUACCUAACCUAAAACCUUUCUAACCCUAAACCCUAAACCCUACCUAACCUUAAACCCUAAACCCUUUCUAACCCUAAACCCUUUCUAACCCUAAAUUCUACCUAACCCUAAACCCUACAUAAUCCUAAACCCUACCUAAUUUUAAACCCUACCUAACCCUAAACUCUACCUUACCCUAAACCCUUUCUAGCCCUAAAUCCUACUAACCCUAAACCCUUUCUAACCCUAAACCCUACCUAACCCUAAACCCUACCUAACCCUAACCCUACAUAACCCUAAACCCUACCUCCUAAACCCUACCUAACCCUAAAACAUUUCUAACCCUAAACCUUUUUUAACCCUAAACCCUACCUAACCCUAAACCCUACCUAACCCUAAAACAUUUCUAACCCUAAACCUUUUUUAACCCUAAACCCUACCUAACCCUAAACCCUACCUACACUAAACACUACCUAACCCUAAACCCUACCUAGCCCUAAACCCUACUAACCCAAAACCCUACCUAAUUCUAAACCCUACCUAACCCUAAAUCCUACAAACCCUAAACCCUACAUACCCUAAACCCUACCUAACCUUAAACCCUUCCUAACCCUAAACCCUAAAAACCCUACCUAACCCUAAACCCUACCUAACCCUUAACCCUGAUAACCCUAAACCCUGCCUAAACCUAACCCUAAAACCCUACCUAAACCUAACCCUAAAACCUUACCUAAACCUAUAACUCUACC
Molecule: long non-coding RNA, 2065 nt
Filed under: Brassica napus (rape)
Lineage: Eukaryota; Viridiplantae; Streptophyta; Magnoliopsida; Brassicales; Brassicaceae
Description: long non-coding RNA (BNAP_LNC001982)
Source: RNAcentral